GGGGCUGAUUCUGGAUUCGACGGGAUUUGCGAAACCCAAGGUGCAUGCCGAGGGGCGGUUGGCCUCGUAAAAAGCCGCAAAAAAAUAGUCGCAAACGACGAAAACUACGCUUUAGCAGCUUAAUAACCUGCUUAGAGCCCUCUCUCCCUAGCCUCCGCUCUUAGGACGGGGAUCAAGAGAGGUCAAACCCAAAAGAGAUCGCGCGGAUGCCCUGCCUGGGGUUGAAGCGUUAAAACGAAUCAGGCUAGUCUGGUAGUGGCGUGUCCGUCCGCAGGUGCCAGGCGAAUGUAAAGACAGACUAAGCAUGUAGUACCGAGGAUGUAGGAAUUUCGGACGCGGGUUCAACUCCCGCCAGCUCCACCA
Molecule: transfer-messenger RNA, 363 nt
Filed under: Salmonella enterica subsp. enterica serovar Infantis
Lineage: Bacteria; Pseudomonadati; Pseudomonadota; Gammaproteobacteria; Enterobacterales; Enterobacteriaceae
Also listed under: 262 other names
Rfam family: transfer-messenger RNA
About the family: Bacterial tmRNA, also known as 10Sa RNA or SsrA, is named for its dual tRNA and mRNA-like properties. Its role is to liberate the mRNA from a stalled ribosome.
Source: RNAcentral